GGCGGCAUAGCCAAGUGGUAAGGCGACGGAUUGCAAAUCCGUUAUUCCCCGGUUCGUCCUGGGCCGGGUCCCUCCC
This 76-nucleotide transfer RNA is filed under the name Planctomycetota bacterium. RNAcentral's name for it is "tRNA-Cys". It matches the Rfam family "tRNA". From Rfam's summary of the family: Transfer RNA (tRNA) molecules are approximately 80 nucleotides in length. Their secondary structure includes four short double-helical elements and three loops (D, anti-codon, and T loops). The record is from RNAcentral. Lineage: Bacteria; Pseudomonadati; Planctomycetota.